RNAcentral lists this ribosomal RNA (400 nucleotides) under uncultured bacterium. RNAcentral's name for it is "bacterial SSU rRNA". It matches the Rfam family "Bacterial small subunit ribosomal RNA", at positions 355 to 747 of the family's 1533-position model. The record is from RNAcentral.
UGGGGAAUAUUGGACAAUGGGCGGAAGCCUGAUCCAGCAAUGCCGCGUGUGUGAAGAAGGCCUGCGGGUUGUAAAGCACUUUCGGUGGGGAGGAAGGUCUGAUGGUGAAUAGCCAUGAGAUUUGACGCUACCCACAGAAGAAGCACCGGCUAACUCUGUGCCAGCAGCCGCGGUAAUACAGAGGGUGCGAGCGUUAAUCGGAAUUACUGGGCGUAAAGGGUGCGUAGGUGGUUAGUUAAGUUAGAUGUGAAAUCCCUGGGCUUAACCUAGGAAUGGCAUUUAAGACUGAUUAGCUAGAGUGUGGGAGAGGGAAGUGGAAUUUCCGGUGUAGCGGUGAAAUGCGUAGAUAUCGGAAGGAACAUCAGUGGCGAAGGCGACUUCCUGGCCCGAUACUGACACU